Molecule: ribosomal RNA, 468 nt
Filed under: uncultured bacterium
Lineage: Bacteria
Description: partial 16S ribosomal RNA
Rfam family: Bacterial small subunit ribosomal RNA
Source: RNAcentral
GACGAACGCUGGCGGCGUGCUUAACACAUGCAAGUCGAACGGAAAGGCCCUGCUUUUGUGGGGUGCUCGAGUGGCGAACGGGUGAGUAACACGUGAGUAACCUGCCCUUGACUUUGGGAUAACUUCUGGAAACUGGGGCUAAUACCGGAUAGGAGCUCCUGCUGCAUGGUGGGGGUUGGAAAGUUUCGGCGGUUGGGGAUGGACUCGCGGCUUAUCAGCUUGUUGGUGGGGUAGUGGCUUACCAAGGCUUUGACGGGUAGCCGGCCUGAGAGGGUGACCGGCCACAUUGGGACUGAGAUACGGCCCAGACUCCUACGGGAGGCAGCAGUGGGGAGUAUGGCACAAUGGGCGGAAGCCUGAUGCAGCAACGCCGCGUGCGGGAUGACGGCCUUCGGGUUGUAAACCGCUUUCGCCUGUGACGAAGCGUGAGUGACGGUAAUGGGUAAAGAAGCACCGGCUAACUACGUG